RNAcentral lists this ribosomal RNA (745 nucleotides) under uncultured bacterium. Its description in RNAcentral is "bacterial SSU rRNA". It matches the Rfam family "Bacterial small subunit ribosomal RNA", at positions 33 to 773 of the family's 1533-position model. The record is from RNAcentral.
ACGCUGGCGGCAGGCCUAACACAUGCAAGUCGAGCGGUAGAGAGAAGCUUGCUUCUCUUGAGAGCGGCGGACGGGUGAGUAAUGCCUAGGAACCUGCCUGGUAGUGGGGGAUAACGUUCGGAAACGGACGCUAAUACCGCAUACGUCCUACGGGAGAAAGCAGGGGACCUUCGGGCCUUGCGCUAUCAGAUGAGCCUAGGUCGGAUUAGCUAGUUGGUGGGGUAAUGGCUCACCAAGGCGACGAUCCGUAACUGGUCUGAGAGGAUGAUCAGUCACACUGGAACUGAGACACGGUCCAGACUCCUACGGGAGGCAGCAGUGGGGAAUAUUGGACAAUGGGCGAAAGCCUGAUCCAGCCAUGCCGCGUGUGUGAAGAAGGUCUUCGGAUUGUAAAGCACUUUAAGUUGGGAGGAAGGGCAGUUGCCUAAUACGUAACUGUUUUGACGUUACCGACAGAAUAAGCACCGGCUAACUCUGUGCCAGCAGCCGCGGUAAUACAGAGGGUGCAAGCGUUAAUCGGAAUUACUGGGCGUAAAGCGCGCGUAGGUGGUUUGUUAAGUUGGAUGUGAAAUCCCCGGGCUCAACCUGGGAACUGCAUUCAAAACUGACUGACUAGAGUAUGGUAGAGGGUGGUGGAAUUUCCUGUGUAGCGGUGAAAUGCGUAGAUAUAGGAAGGAACACCAGUGGCGAAGGCGACCACCUGGACUGAUACUGACACUGAGGUGCGAAAGCGUGGGGAGCAAAC